This 423-nucleotide ribosomal RNA is filed under the name uncultured bacterium. RNAcentral describes it as "bacterial SSU rRNA". It matches the Rfam family "Bacterial small subunit ribosomal RNA", at positions 356 to 771 of the family's 1533-position model. The record is from RNAcentral.
GGGGAAUAUUGGACAAUGGGGGCAACCCUGAUCCAGCGACGCCGCGUGGGUGAAGAAGGCCUGCGGGUUGUAACGCCCUUUCGGUGGGGAAGAAAAGUCUCGGCCUAAUACGCUGGGACCUUGACGUAACCCACUAAAGAAGCACCGGCGAACUCUGUGCCAGCAGCCGCGGUAAUACGUAGGCAGCGAGCGUUGUUCGGAGUUACUGGGCGUAAAGCGUGCGUAGGCGGUAGUCCAAGUCUGGUGUGAAAUCUCCCGGCUUAACCGGGAGGGUGCGCUAGAAACUGGGCUGCUGGAGUGCGGGAGAGGUAAGCGGAAUUCCUGGUGUAGCGGUGAAAUGCGUAGAUAUCAGGAGGAACACCCGUGGUGUAGACGGCUUACUGGACCGUAACUGACGCUGAGGCACGAAAGCGUGGGUAGCAA